UUCCAGAAAUUUUAUCUUACUCCUAAUAUGCGAACAUUACCUGAAGAAAUUGAAUUUUCUCAUUUUUUAUUACAAAUUGGAAAUGGUAGUAUGAAUGAUAAUGAAGAUAAUGUAGAACUCCCAGAAGAUUGCAUCGACUAUGAAGAUACGGAUAUUGCAGAAAAUAUUUAUGGUUCAUUAAUAAGAGAGAAAAAAUACAAACAAGCUACUCGGUGUGCUAUUCUGGCGGCUAGAAAUAUCGAUGUGGACGAUCAAUAAACAAGUGGUUGAACUACUUGAUAUUGAUACUGAACGGAUAUAUAUGAGUGUAGAUAGUGCCGAAAACUACAAUGGAAAUGAUGAAAUUAAUUUAGAUUUGCUACCAGAAUAUCUAAAUACUCUUGCCCCAGCUACUUUACCACCUUAUGAACUACGAUUGAGACAAUUCUGUAUCGUCAUGUUGAUCCGAAAUCAGAGCGUCCCAUUAAAAUCACAGUUUCCCAUUAAAAUCGCUUUCGCAAUAACAAUAAAUAAAUCACAAGGUCAAACAUUUGAUAAAAUUGGAAUCGAUUUGAGGAAAGAUGUUUUUAAUCACGGACAACUUUACGUUGCAUUGUCGCGAGUACGAUCGUGGAAAUCAUUAAAAGUUUACGUCGGAAAUCAACGUAAGAAGAAAACAGUGAAAAAGUUUGUAUUCAAAGAAUUAUAUCGAUAAUUUGACGGAAAUACACUUAAAAGGAAUUGGAAUGUUCGGAAAGAAGAAAAAAUAAGGAACGACAGCCUCAUAUGAAACCAACCGUUCCAAAAUGAAUUUUCACGAACUCUUCUGAAGUACAUUACUCCAAUUGACCAACUAGAUCUAUUGUUUCUGUCAGAAAUCAAAACAUCAGCCUGUGGAAAAAACAGCCUUCUGAUAACGGGUUGAAUGUAUCAUCGGAAAAUAAUGAGAACAGCCUUGAGUGAAUUAGCACUGGAAGAUGAUAAUGAUCCAGAGCAAAAUCACAACAAAAGUGAAAGGAAUACGGAAGGCGAAAAUGAUAACGAUCUUCCAUAUACUUCAACCGACGAAAUGAAGAAAAUUCGUAGUGGAGACAGACUUAUCGAAAUCAUAAGAUUUGUUGAUAGAACCGAAGCACCUCAAUUCGUGAAAGGAGAUAUCUAUGUUCUGUCCUUCAGUAUCAGUAAUGAUGAUACAUCCAUGAAAAUCGUCGCAUUGGAAUGAUCAAGCUAGACGAGUGGAAUCUCUAAUUAAAACCCAUUCGAUCCUGCAUAUUAAUGGUACCACUGCUGGACCAACGAAUGAACGAUACAAUAUCGGUAAUUUACCAAUAGAGCUGACGAUAAACUCAAACACUGAAAUAACCAUGUUAGGGAAACACCAUAUAAAACCCGAUGAAAUUCAAACCUUCGACUUAUCUAUACUGAAAAUUCCUACGAGAAAAACAAUUCGAAUCACUGGCUUCAUAAAAACUAACUUCGCAAUAAAUAAACAUAAAAAUAGUAAAAAAGAUACUACAUCCCCAGGGAUGCAUUGCAGAAAAUAAAUUGAAACUACCAGUACAGAUACUGCUAAUGGAGAACUUCUCUAAUCCAUUCAAAAUAGGAGACCAUGUACAACUCUUAGGAAAAAUGAACAACAAUAAUGAAAAUUCCUACUUUUUGAUGAACAAAAUAUCCGAUAUGGAGAAAAUAGAUGAUCCAACUAUGAACAAGAGGUCCUUACUGUUGGCAAAUGAAUUUUUAAAUUUGUCUGUCAAUGAUGAUGUGAAUAAUGGCACCCCCUCAACUUCUGGCGUGAAGUAUACUAAUAAAAAGAGACAAAAACUUGAUGACAAUGAAUCUUCUCCAUCAACAUCGAAAAAGGGAAAAUAUAAGAAGCAAAAAAAAUCUCAUCAAGAGGGUGAAGAUAACUACAACGAAGACUACGAUUAAAAUAUUAAAUCAUUUUCAUUUCAAUCAUUUAGAAAAAAAAAAAUUAUGAGAGGUAAAUGAUAUCUUGAAGUAUAUCAUGUAUUCAAUUAAUUCCUUUUAUCAUAAAAUUAUAAUUGGAGAAUAACAAAUGAAGCAAUCUGUUUGUUGAUUGAACGUUUUCUAUACAAAACGUUACACUCGAUUUUUUAACAGGGGAUUCAAUAAAUAAUAAUUAUAAUGAUAAUAAUGAUACCGUAAUAUCUGGAGCCUCCCGGCGGAUGAUAGGCGCGCGAAGCGCGCGCCCAGUUCUAGUGAUACGAAGAUUACCUGUAGAUUUGCAAAGGCGCAUCAGAAGUAUGAUUGUGAGCAUUCCAGCUGACUUCCUUCGUUCUAUCGGGCGAACCUCUCGACGUUGGCUGGAGUUAUGGCUUCAUAUAAAUGGUGGAAACAUUGAACAUUUCUUAGAAUGA
This is a long non-coding RNA of Diachasma alloeum, 2360 nucleotides long. RefSeq lists it as uncharacterized. Lineage: Eukaryota; Metazoa; Arthropoda; Insecta; Hymenoptera; Braconidae. The record is from RefSeq and is a predicted model, not a curated record. The transcript has 7 exons.